RNAcentral lists this ribosomal RNA (382 nucleotides) under uncultured eukaryote. RNAcentral's name for it is "SSU rRNA". It matches the Rfam family "Eukaryotic small subunit ribosomal RNA", at positions 587 to 972 of the family's 1831-position model. The record is from RNAcentral.
AGCUCCAAUAGCGUAUAUUAAAGCUGUUGCAGUUAAAAAGCUCGUAGUUGGAUCUUGGGCCUAGGCUCGCGGUCCGCCGCAAGGCGUGUUACUGCCCGUCCUGGCCUUUCUCUCGGUUUUCACCCGGUGCUCUUGAUUGAGUGGCGGGGGUGACCGGAACGUUUACUUUGAAAAAAUUAGAGUGUUCAAAGCAGGCCAUACGCCUGAAUAGCAGAGCAUGGAAUAAUGGAAUAGGACCUUGGUUCUAUUGCGUUGGUUUUCGGAACUCGAGGUAAUGAUUAAGAGGGACUGACGGGGGCAUUCGUAUUGCGGUGUGAGAGGUGAAAUUCUUGGAUCGCCGCAAGACGACCGACUGCGAAAGCAUUUGCCAAGAAUGUUUUCA